ACACACACACACACACACACACACACACACACACACAUGCUCCUCUUAGAUUCAGGGAGAUGAAAUAAUUUUGGAACUUUUAAUUUUUGUUUUUUUUUUAAUUAAGAAUAUAUGUGUGUGUCUGUAUAUGGAUGUAUACACGAGGGCAGGUACCCUCGGAGGCCAGAAAACAGCUGGAGCUGGAGUUCCAAGGGGUUUUGAACCACCCAAUGUGGCUGUUGGGAUCUGAACUCAGGUAGAGCAGGAAGCCCUCCGAACCACACAGCCAUCUCUCCAGCCUCUCAGCUUGCCUUGUUUGGUUUGGUUUGGCUUGGCUUGUUUUUUGUUUUUUGUUUGGUUUUGUUUUUUUGUUUUUUGGGUUUUUUUUUUUGUUUUUGUUUUGUUUUGGGGUUUUUUUUGUUGUUUGUUUGUUUGAGACAAGGUCUCUCACUGUGGCCUUGGCUGUCCUGGAACUCGAAAGUUCUGGGAUUAAACGCAAGAAUCAUGCCUGGCUUUUUUUCCCCAAGGUAAAAUUUCACCGUGUAGUUAUGCAUGGCCUGCAUGCAUUAUAU
RNAcentral lists this long non-coding RNA (551 nucleotides) under Rattus norvegicus (Norway rat). RNAcentral describes it as "long non-coding RNA NONRATT006031". The record is from RNAcentral. Lineage: Eukaryota; Metazoa; Chordata; Mammalia; Rodentia; Muridae.